UUGGCGGUGUUGUGAUUGAUUAUUCGCGCUGCGUUGUUGAGCUGAAGGUGGUGGAAGUUGGUUGGGCACUUUGACAUGACAUUCCACGUAGCUUUUACUGCGCCGCACUCUACUAGCAGAAAGGGUCUUAGGCGGCUGUUCAAAUGAAAAAUGACGUUUCUCGCGUUUGUGGCAUUCGGUGUGUGAUGAUCUAGACUGUUGACGUGGCAUAUGGAUUUUAACAUGCUGAUGAAUUCAAAAACUGCAAUAAUGAAAUGAUGUUUGUGUGAAGCCAACAUGAUGCCAAGGAUCGGCCUGCCCUGCCUGAGCGGAGCGCUGGCGCAGUGGGCGCAGCAGCUGUGCCAGCGCUGGGCCGCCGGCUGGACGCUGGCCGUCAGCGUGGUGACGCUGGCGCUCUGCUCGCUGGUGGUGCUCACGCAGGCGCUGGCCGCCGUCGGCACCUACCAAGGUUUGGCGCGACGCUCGAGCCCGGGGCCUCCGGUCUUCUGUCUGGAUAGCAGCUCUCGGUUGUACUCGCUGUGGUGGGAGCAUAAUAUAUCAGCGUCUGGACACGGAACAAUACCCCGUGCGCAAGUAAAAAAAGAUGCAAUCUGCUUAUGAUAUUUGCAGUUUGCCGCGCAUUUC
Pollicipes pollicipes is the source of this 624-nucleotide long non-coding RNA. RefSeq lists it as uncharacterized. The transcript has 3 exons. The record is from RefSeq and is a predicted model, not a curated record. NCBI's taxonomy places the organism in Eukaryota, Metazoa, Arthropoda, Thecostraca, Pollicipedomorpha, Pollicipedidae.